Molecule: long non-coding RNA, 3855 nt
Filed under: Homo sapiens (human)
Lineage: Eukaryota; Metazoa; Chordata; Mammalia; Primates; Hominidae
Description: non-protein coding PRKCQ-AS1:7
Source: RNAcentral
GGUCCCCCGCCGUGCGCCCCCGGUCCCGCGCCCAGGCUCCCGCCCCUGGCCUCCUUACCAGCCACUUGUCGCCCAGCUGCGAACUGGAGCGGGAGGCGGCGGCCGGAGGGCCCAGGACAGCCCCGGGAGGGCGGCGAGGCGGAGCAGGAGCGCCCCGGCUCCGGCCACAUUCUCAGAGUCAGGAAAAGGGGCGAGAGGCCACAUGUCUCCCUCUCGCCCAACUGAAAACGAAACGGCGCUCCAGCAGAUUGGGUGGAAAGAGCUGGGUCUCUUUUCUCUGUUUUUCACGCUAGAAAGGGCUUGUAAACAUUGUUCCUUUUAAAAUGACCUACCCCAGGCAUUUGUUUGGGCACACUUCUGUCCUGGGGUCAUCGUUCCUAGGUGGCUUCGGACCUGGGACUUUUCCUGUAUCUGCACAUUGUCGUUUUAUACACAAUUGCCAAGGUGGGACUGCUUUCAACUUUACUGUGCUUGAAGCUGCAAAGGUUCUGCCCUGAUGUUUCCUGGAAUAAUGCUGAGGACUGCCUUUCGGGUAGCCGCCCUAUUCAGUUCACUUCAUCUCGGAAAUACCUGACCCCUGCCUUGGAUCCAGCGGCCCUCCUGAGAGCUGAGGAAGGAGGAAAUCCUAUGUGUCUGCUCCCGGAGCUGCCACAACCCAUCUUCCCACAACUCGGAACUUGGAAAAAGGAACCCAGGACACGACUUUGCUUUUCUUUUGGACCUAGUUGAAGUCACAGCUUGGAGGAAACCAGUUUGCACUAUUUGAUGAGGAAUUUGGCCACCAAACCACUGAUACUUUCCCAAAGGUUUGGCAGAAAUUGUUUUUUGAGUGGCUCACCAGAGUACCCAGAAGAAUCAGUAUGGAAUUAGAGGACAGUGGCCUACCCUAAAUAAAGACAUGAGUGAUGUAUAAAGUCUAGUGUCAAUUUAUUCAGAAAAUAUCAAAAUUAUUCUGGGAGCUAUGGGUCAAAGUUGAUAGGCACAAACAAACAAAAACGAAAGGUAUUUUAAAUUCACAGCUUGGAUAAGUAAAAGGGAGAUGUUGUCAUUUCUCUUCUUCAAUCCAACUUUAGAUUUUCAAGCCGGAAAAAGGGUAAUUAGAAGUUAGAAAUUGUUAUUGCCAGAAAAUAGCUCUAAACCCUGAAAAAAAAAAAAAAAAAAAAAAAAACUGACCCUCCUCUUGGGGAGUGAUAAACCUCAAUUACUGUUGAUAGUAAAACUGAUAUCAACUCUUCGAAACCAGUGAAAGGUGAAUGGAAACCUUACCCUAGGUUAAGGUUUAAAAAAUGUUCAUAAUAUAUAUUUGAAAGUUCCAUUAUUUAAAAUAUUCAUUAGACAUGCUUUGUAAUGUUAAGUUACUUCAAAAAAUCUUACACAAGGGAAGGGAAGUAUGUAUUAUUCCUUCAUUUAAGAGAAAGAUAAUGUGUGAAUAUUAGUUAAUAUUUAUCGUACAUUUACUACCUGUGUCGAAGCGUAGUGUUACACACUUAAUUUCAAUUAUUUAAUUUGAUUCUAACAAUGAAUCCCCUGAGAUGGAUAAUAUCCUCUUCAUUUUACAGAUGAGACAAUUGAGACUUAAAGGUUAAACAAAUGAUUUCCUAAGCUCAUUCAGCUAAUAAACGGUAGGGGACUGCUUGACACCAGUCCAGUUGACCCUCAAAUCCAUGAUUUCUGCCACCAUAUUCACAGAAACAAGACAAGAGCUGAAAAUAUAGCCUGACUCUUGAAACAGUCAAAGAAUUGUGUAUGUUUAUGAAAGUUCUGAUUAAUAAGAUAUUCUGAGGACAAAAGACAAGGCAUGGGUAGAGGGGCAAUGUGUAGAUUAGAAUGUAUCACAAUGCCCACUAAAUAGUAAAACCAUAGAAAAUGAAAUUUAAUCCUUACUGUGUAGAAUAUUUAGAGUAGAUUGUUUUUUCCUCGGUGUCAAUUACUAUUACAACUAUCAAAGAAUGAAAUUAAACAAGAAACGGUUCCUUUGGUUUUUUUUUUUAAAGGUGGGAGUUAUAAAAACAGUAUUUGCCAUCUGGUUUUAGUUAUGGCUGUGGAAAUUCUAUGGGUACAAUUUGUUGUCAUUGUUGUUACCACUACCAAUACAGAGAUGCUAAUUGUAACAUCAGUUUCUAAAUCAGAUAGUGAAUAAUUACAUUUUCAAUGUUUUCUUAACAUAGAUACAAGUUAACAGGAUAUGCUUCUGGCCUGUUUCUGGAUUCUAAGGGUAGAACCAGCAUAAAACUAGUCAGUCCAAGUAUUUCUAAAGAUCCACAGACACAGUUCUCCUGGAUUUGGGAAGCCUAGAGAUAUUAGCACAAUAAUUAAGGCCCAAGUGAGUAUAAAAUUUUAUCUGAAAUUGAAGAGAUAUUGAUUAGAUAAUCCACAGAGACUACUUUUUAGUGAUUAUCUUCCACCAGGGUAAAAGCAACAGCAGCCUGAAAAUGCAAAAGACCAUACAUUUUAAUGGUAAGUCCUCCCCAGGAAGGAUUAAUAAAUCUCAGGAGGAAGAUUUAUUAUCUGUAAAUCCAGGAGGAAGAAAUCAAGAUGAAAACUAUCAUAUUUAUAAAUUUGAUUGUUGCAAUUUUAUAGUUUGACAUAGUGCAAUUGCUUUAGAUUUGAAGGGGAACUUACUUUAGAGUAAGUCACUCAAUCUCUUUUUUGGAAAGGCAAAUGCCACACCUGAUCCUCAUCACUCCCUUCUCCUUUGUCCAUAGCCUGGCUUUAUUCUGCCAUUAACACACACACACACACACACACACACACACACACAAAUUGGGAAGAGGAUUUCUCAUUUUACAGAAAGUAUGCUGGGCUACACAGGAUAUUCUAUCAGGUUUCUUCCAGCUAUAAAAUUCUGAGACUAAAUAUCAAAUUAAAGAAAGUACUAAUUGUCAGCGAUGGGGGAUGUACUGCUAUUUGCUUCUAGUGGUACUCACUGCUCAUUUCCUAUAUUCACUGGUAUAAAAAAAUUUCAAACACCCUCAAAAAAGCCUAUACUGGUGGUACCAGGAAAACGCUGAAAAUCAUUACUUUCUGUGUGGUGUCCAGCUCUUUUGGUUACAUCAUCACUUCGACCAUUCACUUUUAAAGAAAAACUUUUGUGGAACAAAAAUAUAAAGAUUUAUUUUUUUUCUUGGUGGCUUAGCACAGUGGCCUAAUGUGGCUGACCAUGUGCACCUGUUGUGUGAGUCACUUAGACGUGCUUUGUUUCUUGGUCACAGUUGAUCCCUCAACUCAAGCAUCUCACCCUCAAAAUGUUUGUUUGGGACCCAAGAGGCAAACCUUGAGAUGGGUUAUUUCUUUCACCUUGGAUUGGCUCAUCUGCUGGGAGUGGAGCCAAGCUGACAUUUCCUUUCCUUUUUGUCUGCCUAUCACUACGUAGAGGCAGCACAUAAGAGAGGGAAAGCCAUGCGCGUGGAGUCCAGCACAUCACCCAGAAGGCAGAUGUUCUAUCUCCAUUUUACUCAUUAAAACAAACAAAACCACACCUGGAUUGCCUGGUACUUAAAUAAAAUGCACUAUGAUGAUUGAAGAAAAAUAUCUUAUAUUUAAGGAAUAGUUUUAAUAGCUUACAUCUGUAUUUCUAUUAGCUUCCGUUUCUAUUUUUAAUAUUUGUAUAAUAUUAAAAGUAAUUUUAAAAAUGAACUAAUCUUUUUACAUCUCUUAUGAGAAUUUAAUGGAGAUAUGAUGUUUGAAGAUCAAAGAUACGUGGUAUUUGAAAUCAGAAAAUGUGUUUGCUUUUCUACACAGAUUACAAAUAUCAUGCAUUAUUUCACAAACUCUUCUCAAAGUGUUGAUUUUAAAAUUAGUAAAAGGAGGGUAUAUUCAUAUCACAUCCUGGCAUUUUUAUAGGCAAGAUUGAGC